Molecule: ribosomal RNA, 497 nt
Filed under: uncultured bacterium
Lineage: Bacteria
Description: partial 16S ribosomal RNA
Rfam family: Bacterial small subunit ribosomal RNA
Source: RNAcentral
GAUGAACGCUGGCGGCGUGCCUAAUACAUGCAAGUCGAGCGAACAGACGAGGAGCUUGCUCCUCUGACGUUAGCGGCGGACGGGUGAGUAACACGUGGAUAACCUACCUAUAAGUCUGGGAUAACUUCGGGAAACCGGAGCUAAUACCGGAUAAUAUAUUGAACCGCAUGGUUCAAUAGUGAAAGACGGUUUUGCUGUCACUUAUAGAUGGAUCCGCGCCGCAUUAGCUAGUUGGUAAGGUAACGGCUUACCAAGGCAACGAUGCGUAGCCGACCUGAGAGGGUGAUCGGCCACACUGGAACUGAGUCACGGUCCAGACUCCUACGGGAGGCAGCAGUAGGGAAUCUUCCGCAAUGGGCGAAAGCCUGACGGAGCAACGCCGCGUGAGUGAUGAAGGUCUUCGGAUCGUAAAACUCUGUUAUUAGGGAAGAACAAAUGUGUAAGUAACUAUGCACGUCUUGACGGUACCUAAUCAGAAAGCCACGGCUAACUACGUG